RNAcentral lists this ribosomal RNA (1328 nucleotides) under termite gut metagenome. RNAcentral describes it as "bacterial SSU rRNA". It matches the Rfam family "Archaeal small subunit ribosomal RNA". The record is from RNAcentral.
UGAACAUGGCGUAAUGCUCAGUAACACGUGGAUAACCUACCCUCAGAUUUGGCAUAAUCUCGGGAAACUGAGAAUAAUUCCAAAUAGUUCUUUUUGGCUGGAAUGCAUUAAGAAUUAAAGAUAUUUCGUCUGAGGAUGGGUCUGCGACCUAUCAGGUUGUAGAGGGUGUAACGUACCCUCUAGCCAACAACGGGUACGGGUUGUGAAAGCAAGAGCCCGGAGAUGGAUUCUGAGACAUGAAUCCAGGCCCUACGGGGCGCAGCAGGCGCGAAAACUUUACAAUGCAGGAAACUGUGAUAAGGGAACACCGAGUGCUUACAUCUUAUGUAAGCUGUCUAUAUACUUAAAUCGUAUAUAAUAGCAAGGGCCGGGCAAUACCGGUGCCAGCCGCCGCGGUAAUACCGGUGGCCCGAGUGGUAGCCACUUUUAUUUGGUCUAAAGGGUCCGUAGCCGGUUUGGUUAGUCCAUUAAGAAAUCCAAAUGCUCAACAUUUGGGCUAUUAGUGGAUACUUCUAAACUUGGGAUCGGGUGAGGUAAGAGGUACUAUAGGGGUAGGAGUGAAAUCUUGUAAUCCUUAUGAGACCACCUGUGGCGAAGGCGUCUUACUAGAACGAGUCCGACGGUGAGGGACGAAAGCUGGGGGCACGAACCGGAUUAGAUACCCGGGUAGUCCCAGCCGUAAACUAUGCUCGCUAAGUGUCAGAUAUAGCAUGACUGUAUCUGGUGCUGUAGGGAAGCCGUGAAGCGAGCCACCUGGGAAGUACGGCCGCAAGGCUGAAACUUAAAGGAAUUGGCGGGGGAGCACAACAACGGGUGGAGCCUGCGGUUUACCUGAAUCGCUGAGAGGAGGUGCAUGGUCGUCGCCAGUUCGUACUUUGAAGCAUCCUGUUAAGUCAGGCAACGAGCGAGACCCGUGCCUACAGUUGUCAGCAUUAUCUCCGGAUAGAUGGAAACUCUGUAGGGACCGCUGAUGCUAAAUCAGAGGAAGGUGCGGGCUACGGUAGAUCAGUAUGCCCCGAAUCUCUUGGGCUACACGCGGGCUACAAUGGACGGGACAAUGGGUUACUACCUCGAAAGAGGACGUGAAUCUCAUAAACCCGUUCGAAGUUCGGAUCGAGGAUUGAAACCCAUCCUCGUGAAGCUGGAAUCCGUAGUAAUCGCGUUUCAACAUAGCGCGGUGAAUACGUCCCUGCUCCUUGCACACACCGCCCGUCAAACCAUCCGAGUGAGGUAUGGGUGAGGGUAUGGACAUUGGUGCCGUAUUCAAACCUGAAUUUUGCAAGGAGGGUUAAGUCGUAACAAGGUAGCCGUAGGGGAAUCUGCGGCUG